GGGUGUAGACAUGAUGAUAUUUGGGAACCUACUCCAUCUUCUACCUCGUAUCAGCGGUCAUCUUCACGACAUCCUCUCAUUCCACCAUCUGGUGAUGCUCCUGAGGCUGGGGGUUCUGGAGCUGGUGCUGGAAGUGAUGAUGAUGAUGAUAAGGACACGGAGUGAUUUCUUCGUCGAGCUUAGUCUCUUUCUUUCACUGCAUUUGAUGUUUAGGACGAUGUUUUAGAUUUGCUUGCUUAUCUUUCUGUAGUAUGUUUUUACUUUCGUUUUAGGCCUGUAGCUAUGACUAGACUACUCUCAUGUUUUUCUAGUAUGUUUUCUCUUUCUAUUUGCUUUCUUUUGGCAAUUUUUGACAAAAAGGGGAAGAGCGUAGAUGAAGGGGAAGAGCAUGGAUGAGCAGGCAUUGAACUAAGCAAAGGAUGAUGAGUUCAAGAACAAAAGGGGAGAUGUGAUCGAGAUGUGAACAAAGGGGGAGAAGGUAUAAGUUUUAAGGUUAAUCAUUUUUGAAUGAAUUGUUUUGCAGGAAAUCAAGACUUCAAGACUCCUUGUUGCAUCUAAGUCAUAGAGUCUGUUUUAGGAGUUUUGAUGUAAUUUUGAGUUUCAAAUUGUAUUUGGAUUACACGCGAGGGGUUCAAUGUUUUGGUGAUGACAUUGAACUUCGUUUUUCCUUAAAAUGUAAUUGUUGAGUUUGUGUGUGUUUUGUCACGA
Molecule: long non-coding RNA, 708 nt
Filed under: Ananas comosus (pineapple)
Lineage: Eukaryota; Viridiplantae; Streptophyta; Magnoliopsida; Poales; Bromeliaceae
Description: long non-coding RNA (ACOM_LNC024232)
Source: RNAcentral